AAUCAAUCUCAGCUUGUUCCUCCACGAUCAUAGUCUAGGAACCUAGACUACCACGAUCCCAGUCACCCCCCCAACUAUGUAAUUCUUUUCACAAUUUUGCCUACAUUACGCGUGUUCAAUACAGUGCUACAUGGUGUCGUUUUUUUUUAUAUUUUAAUCUGAAACUUAUUAGCACUCUGUUUUUUUUUUCUCUUCUUAUAGCUGUGUUCAAAAUGUAUUCCUCCAUGGUUCACUAGUUCUCUGGGGUUUCAAAUAAGGUGUAGUUACUAACCCUUUCAUUUUUAUUCUGGAUUUCACUGACUGAUUUAGCUUUCUAUAGAUUUUUAAUAAAUAAAGUUUAUUUUGGUUGUUGACGAAA
Asterias rubens (European starfish) is the source of this 358-nucleotide long non-coding RNA. RefSeq lists it as uncharacterized. The transcript is spliced from 2 exons. The record is from RefSeq and is a predicted model, not a curated record. NCBI's taxonomy places the organism in Eukaryota, Metazoa, Echinodermata, Asteroidea, Forcipulatida, Asteriidae.